Molecule: ribosomal RNA, 246 nt
Filed under: uncultured bacterium
Lineage: Bacteria
Description: partial 16S ribosomal RNA
Rfam family: Bacterial small subunit ribosomal RNA
Source: RNAcentral
AAGGCCAUGCGGCGACGCAGAGCGGAACCCGAAAACCUGUCUCAGUUCGGAUUGGAGUCUGCAACCCGACUCCAUGAAGCUGGAUUCGCUAGUAAUCGCGCAUCAGCCACGGCGCGGUGAAUACGUUCCCGGGCCUUGUACACACCGCCCGUCAAGCCAUGGAAGCCGGGAGUGCCUGAAGUGCGUGAGCGCAAGCAGCGCCCUAAGGUAAAACCGGUGACUGGGGCUAAGUCGUAACAAGGUACC